RNAcentral lists this ribosomal RNA (251 nucleotides) under uncultured prokaryote. RNAcentral describes it as "partial 16S rRNA". It matches the Rfam family "Bacterial small subunit ribosomal RNA", at positions 525 to 776 of the family's 1533-position model. The record is from RNAcentral.
ACGUAGGAGGCAAACGUUAUCCGGAUUUACUGGGCGUAAAGCGCGUGUAGGUGGUUCUGUAAGUAGGGCGUGAAAGCUCCUGGCUCAACUGGGAGAGGCCGUUCUAAACUGCAGAGCUAGAGGAUGGUAGAGGGAGGUGGAAUUCCGGGUGAAGCGGGCGCCUGCACCUUUUCUCACCCUGAGACGAGAGGUCUGAGCUAGCUCCGGGAACAUUCCUGACCUGCGGCCUUGUAUCCUAGUGAACUUCCAGG